CAUUGGUUCUCCCGCGACGAUAAGUGGUGAACCCCGCCAGGCCCGGAAGGGAGCAACGGUAACUGCUGAUUCGGGCGCCGGGAUGUGGCUGGUGCGG
RNAcentral lists this signal recognition particle RNA (97 nucleotides) under Candidatus Thiothrix moscowensis. Its description in RNAcentral is "signal recognition particle sRNA small type". It matches the Rfam family "Bacterial small signal recognition particle RNA". Rfam says of the family: The signal recognition particle (SRP) is a universally conserved ribonucleoprotein involved in the co-translational targeting of proteins to membranes. Archaeal SRP consists of a 7S RNA and homologues of the eukaryotic SRP19 and SRP54 proteins. In most bacteria, the SRP consists of a 4.5S RNA and the Ffh protein (a homologue of the eukaryotic SRP54 protein). Lineage: Bacteria; Pseudomonadati; Pseudomonadota; Gammaproteobacteria; Thiotrichales; Thiotrichaceae. The record is from RNAcentral.